Molecule: ribosomal RNA, 465 nt
Filed under: uncultured bacterium
Lineage: Bacteria
Description: partial 16S ribosomal RNA
Rfam family: Bacterial small subunit ribosomal RNA
Source: RNAcentral
GACGAACGCUGGCGGCGUGCUUAACACAUGCAAGUCGAACGGAAAGGCCCUGCUUGCAGGGUACUCGAGUGGCGAACGGGUGAGUAACACGUGGGUGAUCUGCCCUGCACUUCGGGAUAAGCCUGGGAAACUGGGUCUAUUACCGGAUAGGAGCCAUUUUUAGUGUGAUGGUUGGACAGUUUUUUCGGUGUAGGAUGAGCUCGCGGCCUAUCAGCUUGUUGGUGGGGUAAUGGCCUACCAAGGCGGCGACGGGUAGCCGGCCUGAGAGGGUGGACGGCCACAUUGGGACUGAGAUACGGCACAGACUGCGACGGGAGGAAGAAGUGGGGAAUAUUGAACAAUGGGCGCAAGCCUGAUGAAGCGACGCCGCGUGGGGGAUGACGGCCUUCGGGUUGUAAAAUCCUAUCGAUAGGGAAGAAGCUUUUUGUGACGGUACCUAGAUAAGAAGCACCGGCUAACUACGUG